CUCCGCGAAAGCGGAGCUAAUACCGGAUAACAUCUUAUGAGCUUAGGCAAAUAAGAUCAAAAGUGGCCUCUACAUGUAAGCUACUGCUUGAAGAUGAGCCCGCGUACCAUUAGCUUGUUGGUAGGGUAAUGGCCUACCAAGGCGACGAUGGUUAGCUGGUCUGAGAGGAUGAUCAGCCACACUGGAACUGAGACACGGUCCAGACUCCUACGGGAGGCAGCAGUGAGGAAUUUUGCGCAAUGGGGGAAACCCUGACGCAGCAACGCCGCGUGAGUGAUGAAGGCUUUCGGGUCGUAAAGCUCUGUCAAGUGGGAAGAAACUAUUCUUUGCCAAUACCAUUGAGUACUGACGGUACCACUGAAGGAAGCACCGGCUAACUCCGUGCCAGCAGCCGCGGUAAUACGGGGGGUGCAAGCGUUAUUCGGAAUCAUUGGGCGUAAAGAGCGCGUAGGCGGUCCCAUAAGUCAGAUGUGAAAGCCCAAGGCUCAACCUUGGAAGUGCAUUUGAUACUAUGGGUCUUGAGUAUGGGAGAGGGAAGUGGAAUUCCUGGUGUAGAGGUGAAAUUCGUAGAUAUCAGGAGGAACACCGGUGCGAAGGCGACUUCCUGGACCAAUACUGACGCUGAGGCGCGAAGGCGUGGGUAGCAAACAGGAUUAGAUACCCUGGUAGUCCACGCAGUAAACGAUGAACACUAGGCGUAGCGGGUAUUGACCCCUGCUGUGCCGCAGUUAACGCAUUAAGUGUUCCGCCUGGGGAGUACGGCCGCAAGGCUAAAACUCAAAGGAAUUGACGGGGGCCCGCACAAGCGGUGGAGCAUGUGGUUUAAUUCGACGCAACGCGAAGAACCUUACCUGGGCUUGACAUCCCGAGAAGUUUUUCGAAAGAAAAAUGUGCCCUUCGGGGAACUUGGAGACAGGUGCUGCAUGGCUGUCGUCAGCUCGUGUCGUGAGUUGUUGGGUUAAGUCCCGCAACGAGCGCAACCCUCAUCUUUAGUUACCAUCAUUCAGUUGGGGACUCUAGAGAUACUGCCCCGGUCAACGGGGAGGAAGGUGGGGAUGACGUCAAGUCCUCAUGGCCCUUAUGUCCAGGGCUACACACGUGCUACAAUGGGCUGUACAAAGGGUUGCGAACCCGCGAGGGUGAGCUAAUCCCAUAAAGCAGCUCCAAGUUCGGAUUGGAGUCUGCAACUCGACUCCAUGAAGCUGGAAUCGCUAGUAAUCGUGGAUCAGCAUGCCACGGUGAAUACGUUCCCGGGCCUUGUACACACCGCCCGUCACACCAUGAGAGUUGAUUGUACCGGAAGUCGUUGGGCCAACCCAUUCGGGAGGCAGGCGCCGAUGGUAUGGUUGAUGAUUGGGGUGAAGUCGUAACAAGGUA
This 1377-nucleotide ribosomal RNA is filed under the name metagenome. Its description in RNAcentral is "bacterial SSU rRNA". It matches the Rfam family "Bacterial small subunit ribosomal RNA", at positions 147 to 1498 of the family's 1533-position model. The record is from RNAcentral.